RNAcentral lists this ribosomal RNA (389 nucleotides) under uncultured bacterium. RNAcentral describes it as "bacterial SSU rRNA". It matches the Rfam family "Bacterial small subunit ribosomal RNA", at positions 30 to 420 of the family's 1533-position model. The record is from RNAcentral.
AUUGAACGCUGGCGGCAUGCCUUACACAUGCAAGUCGAACGGCAGCACGGGAGCAAUCCUGGUGGCGAGUGGCGAACGGGUGAGUAAUAUAUCGGAACGUGCCCAGUCGUGGGGAUAACGUAGCGAAAGCUACGCUAAUACCGCAUACGAUCUAUGGAUGAAAGCGGGGGUUCGCAAAGACCUCGCGCGAUUGGAGCGGCCGAUAUCAGAUUAGGUAGUUGGUGAGGUAAAGGCUCACCAAGCCGACGAUCUGUAGCUGGUCUGAGAGGACGACCAGCCACACUGGGACUGAGACACGGCCAGACUCCUACGGGAGGCAGCAGUGGGGAAUUUUGGACAAUGGGCGCAAGCCUGAUCCAGCAAUGCCGCGUGCAGGAUGAAGGCCUCGG